GGGGUGGUGGAGGGGGUAGCAACGGAGGUACCCGAGGUCACUGGUGGUUUAGCUCCAGCAGCGCCGGAGGUGUAGGGGGCCGCCGCCGCGAGGGGGAGUGGAGGUGGGUUGGUGGGCCGGGGUCCUGGCUAGGCUGUUCGGUAGCGCUCGCGCGCCGCCCGAUGAGGUCGGUAGAACCUGCAGUCGCGGCUGCUUGGUCGGAGCAGAGAGAGACGGCCUGGGCGGGUUAAAGCUGGUUGUUUGGAAGAAGUAGAUAGUACCUAGGCAGCUGGCACUGGAGGGGGCUGCUAGCGUCGACCCGGUAGCGUCAGUGACGGAUGACGGAGGGCAGUUACGCUACCGAUGGUGCCCUACUGGCCGCGAGACGGUUAGUGAGGUGGCAGCGGAGAAGAGGUCACCUGCGCCGAGGCCGCUCUCCGGCGGCUGUUCUUGGAGACCAGUGGGGUGGCCAGCACCGACGUCGUAUGUACCUGACGACUGUCUUUGAUGUACCUCCCUCCGAGCGUCUAGCAACCACGUCACGUGAGACCAGGACCACGUCUAGCAACAAAACCUCAAAAAUAAUAUUUCACAUCUUACAUCAGGUGACAACAAAGAGAACUCCAAGUUAAAUGAAGAAGAACGUCCUUCUUUUGACCACUACACGCCGAACUACGUCGCAACGCAAAAAAAGACAAAUAGCACAUCAAACCUAUCGCUCGGAGGGAGGCACGUCAGGCAACCGUGCAGGUACGUCAUGUCGCGCACACACAUACGUCGUGUGAUGCGCACCCAACGGCC
Molecule: ribosomal RNA, 780 nt
Filed under: Triticum aestivum (bread wheat)
Lineage: Eukaryota; Viridiplantae; Streptophyta; Magnoliopsida; Poales; Poaceae
Description: partial small subunit ribosomal RNA
Source: RNAcentral